UACGUAGGGUGCGAGCGUUAAUCGGAAUUACUGGGCGUAAAGCGUGCGCAGGCGGCUUACUAAGACAGGUGUGAAAGCCCCGAGCUUAACUUGGGAAUGGCGCUUGUGACUGGUAGGCUGGAGUGUGGCAGAGGGAGGUGGAAUUCCACGUGUAGCAGUGAAAUGCGUAGAGAUGUGGAGGAACACCGAUGGCGAAGGCAGCCUCCUGGGCCAACACUGACGCUCAUGCACGAAAGCGUGGGGAGCAAACAGG
This 253-nucleotide ribosomal RNA is filed under the name uncultured bacterium. Its description in RNAcentral is "partial 16S ribosomal RNA". It matches the Rfam family "Bacterial small subunit ribosomal RNA", at positions 524 to 776 of the family's 1533-position model. The record is from RNAcentral.